AUUGAACGCUGGCGGCAGGCCUAACACAUGCAAGUCGAGCGGAUGAAGGGGGCUUGCUCCUGGAUUCAGCGGCGGACGGGUGAGUAAUGCCUAGGAAUCUGCCUGGUAGUGGGGGAUAACGUCCGGAAACGGGCGCUAAUACCGCAUACGUCCUGAGGGAGAAAGUGGGGGAUCUUCGGACCUCACGCUAUCAGAUGAGCCUAGGUCGGAUUAGCUAGUUGGUGGGGUAAAGGCCUACCAAGGCGACGAUCCGUAACUGGUCUGAGAGGAUGAUCAGUCACACUGGAACUGAGACACGGUCCAGACUCCUACGGGAGGCAGCAGUGGGGAAUAUUGGACAAUGGGCGAAAGCCUGAUCCAGCCAUGCCGCGUGUGUGAAGAAGGUCCUCGGAUUGUAAAGCACUUUAAGUUGGGAGGAAGGGCAGUAAGUUAAUACCUUGCUGUUUUGACGUUACCAACAGAAUAAGCACCGGCUAACUUCGUG
This 484-nucleotide ribosomal RNA is filed under the name uncultured bacterium. RNAcentral describes it as "partial 16S ribosomal RNA". It matches the Rfam family "Bacterial small subunit ribosomal RNA", at positions 30 to 507 of the family's 1533-position model. The record is from RNAcentral.